ACCUAUUUACACAUGCUUCCAAGGUGUUGUCAUCAUAGCUCUGCUAGUCAGAAAAGCCUCCAAGUUAACCCUAGAAAAUAAUUCAACUUUUUACAGCCCACAUAGUGUGGCAGGAUCACUUUCCUCUAAAGGGAACUCUUAGCUAGAAAACAGCUGGUAAAGAAGGUACAUAAGGCAGGAUCAGCAGUAGUCACUCUCCCCAAACACAAGCACUCAGUUGGCUGAGCUGAUAGCUCUUACAACAGCACAUAAAUUAAGCAAAAGCAAGGUAGUUAAGUAACCUCAUCCCUGUCCAAGCUGUGACAAAAACACUGGGAACAGAACUGCCCAGAGGCAGAGAUCACUGUGUUCAAAACAUUUAUGCUAACUCCAAGUAUGCUUUUCUAAUUUUCCAUGCUUAUACUGCCAUUUUAAAAAGGCAUUUUUUUUUUUUUAACCGCUGAUGAAUCUCCCAUAAAGUAUCACCAGGAAAUUAACAGGCUAUUAUCCUCAGAUUUUCUUACACAAGAAAUAGCAGGUAUGCGUUGUAGGGAACAUCAAAAGAAAAUAAAUAAGGUAGCCAAAGAAAAUAAAUUAGCUCAUCAGGAAGCUAAGUCAGAGGCAAGAAAGCCUCAAGGCAUUGACAUAACUAGCAAAGUCCAAGGAAAUAAACGAUCUCUAUUUAACCCAGGAAAUUUAGUAUUAGUGAAAACUCUCCUCUCUAUCCUUCCUUAAGCCAAGCUGGGAAGGGACCCUACACUGUUCUUUCAAUGCUCUUGGCAGCAGAAGUUACACAAGUCAACUCGUAAAUACGUCACACUGAAGUCAAAGCCUAAAAGCUGAAGGAGCAACCCUUAGCAGCCCAGAGAUACGACCAGAAUAUCAAUGUGGAAAAAUAGAAAAUCUUAAGCUAAAAAUCAUAAACAUUAAGUAACUGAGUAACGGUUACUCAUAUGACUCAGUCCCACCUUUACCUAAACAGAUACUUUUUGUCAUUUCUGCCCUUACCUCUCAAAGUUUGCUACCAAAUAUUAAAACUUCUUUUUAUUGCAUAUUUGCAGGAAAUUUUUAAUUAUACAUGAUAUUGCACUUGUAACUCUGUAAAUCCCAAAAAGGGAAAUGUUUAACCUUGGGCAAGUAAAGUUUUAAACAAUUUUUUUUUUUAACUACACCACCCUUGUGGCAAUUGUUAUAGUCAUGCUACCAUUUGCAAUAAAACCAAACAUUGUGGCACCCACAAUGUGGGAUUCUGGUUGUAAAAUUUUAAUUUGUGCUCCUAUGAGAAUCUGAUACUGGGGCUGAUUGGACAGGAGGCCACUCAGGCAGUAAUGCUUACAUGAUACCUCCUGCUGUGUGUCUCCAUUCCUAACAGGCCACGGAUUGUUGCUGGUCUGUAGAUUGGAGAUUGGGGACCUCUGCUCUAGGAUAUAUCACUUUCAGGGCUCCAUCUAAAAGCCUAACUCUCCCUCCCACUUGGCAGACACCAGCCUACAAUUUUUGUAUCUUCAGAUCCACAAGAUUGUUAGAAGUUCUACUUUGCCACCACCUAUGACUCAACAUCUAAUUUACAGUACUAUUUAAAUUUCCCCAGUUGUCCAAAAGAAUGUCCUUUGUAGCUGUUUUUAAAUCCAUCCAAUCAGGUUUCAUGCACUUUGUUUCUAUGCUUCUUUAGUCUCUUUUAAUCUAGAACAUUCUCCCUGACUUGUUACGACAUUUUUUGAUGUUUUUUGAAUUUGUCAUGCAUGAAGCUUCAAAAAUGAAAAUUCCUAGCUUGGUGUGUACUAGGAAUUGAAAGGAAGUCAGUAUAUCAAGUUUUUCUUGCACCACAUGAUAUCCUCUCAGCCCCCACCUGUUCAUCCAGCCAUUACUGAGACGACCAGGUCCAGACAGUUUCUCACUAGCUUCAUGCAGGUACACACAGUGCCUUUCCUUCAUAUCUAUCUUUCCAGUACCUUUCUCUUUCUGGCACUGGGCUUCUUUGAGAUGGUAAAAUAAGACUCCUGCAGAAAUCUUCUCAGCACCCAUACAUCUGGAAACCAAAAUUGGGAAGACUUCAUACCAAUAGGAUAACUUUUUAACAGCUGGGGAUGGCGGCAGGUGGAUAAAUGCUUCAUUUCAUCUUCUGGGCAGAGAGUACUUAAAAAAAAAACAUUUCAUAUUUGGGGGGGAGAUGGUGGAAACAAGCUUUUUUGCCAGAGAAAGUCAUAGAAGUUGGACCCUCAUAAUUGGAGCCUAAAUCUCUUAUUGGGCAGAUCACAGUAAAGAGCCAUUGCUGGAGAACACUGACAUUGAUCCCCAGGAGAAUCUGGGCAGAGAAGUAGAGAAAGUUCCUGCAUGAACCUGCCCCACACUAGGCCGCUUGGCUCUGCCAGGUAAUAAUAAAUGGCCAACACUGUUACAGCUUUGCCCAUCCACUCCCACCAUGUUCUGUGAAGAUGGUUCAAGUGUAAAGAGAUGUCUCUCUGAUCUCAAUGUCUGUCUGCAAUUGAGGGAGAUGACUGUACUUCUCAUUGUUGAGAAAUUCCUCUGUAGGAUCCCCAGAGCCUCCUAACAGCAUGAUCUCUCCUCACCCUUUUCCCUACACUUGGUCAUUUAAAAAAUCACCAACUUCCCAGGAUUUGGCUCUUUCCUUAAGAGGGAAAGAGGAAGUGGUCAUCCCCAUGAAGGCCCAAGGAACUUGAUGGGAGGCGUCCAGAAAUCAAGGAGAAUAAACCUUCUUGGGACUCCAGGAGUGGGUUAUAAGGUCCCUGGAAUGUUUGAGAAGACAUUAGGUACAGCGUCCUUCUAUAGCAUAUUGUUGACAUCAGAGACUCUGAGACAAAAUCCUUACCCAAUCUCAUAUGACUCACUGCACUGAAAUCUUAGAUAGCUGUUUACAGCCACACAGGUAUACCUCGUGGCUUUGGGGAGAAAUUUUGUAACUUGAGGACAAUCUGGUGGAAUUUCCUUAUUCUUUCCAUUGUUCUCAGGAUAUUUAUUGUAUGUAAUGAUGCCUGGCUCUGUACAGGCUGCCAUGCAGGAACUUUGGAAAAAGACACACUUCCCACAUGAAAAUUUCAAUUAAAGCAAUAGUUAGAGAAUCA
Long non-coding RNA from Cebus imitator (Panamanian white-faced capuchin), 3062 nucleotides. RefSeq lists it as uncharacterized. The record is from RefSeq and is a predicted model, not a curated record. Lineage: Eukaryota; Metazoa; Chordata; Mammalia; Primates; Cebidae. The transcript has 3 exons.